Molecule: ribosomal RNA, 487 nt
Filed under: uncultured bacterium
Lineage: Bacteria
Description: bacterial SSU rRNA
Rfam family: Bacterial small subunit ribosomal RNA
Source: RNAcentral
GACGAACGCUGGCGGCGUGCUUAACACAUGCAAGUCGAACGAGAAGAGAUGAGAAGCUUGCUUCUUAUCAAUUCGAGUGGCAAACGGGUGAGUAACGCGUAAGCAACCUGCCCUUCAGAUGGGGACAACAGCUGGAAACGGCUGCUAAUACCGAAUACGUUCUUUUUGUCGCAUGGCAGAAAGAAGAAAGGGAGGCUCUUCGGAGCUUUCGCUGAAGGAGGGGCUUGCGUCUGAUUAGCUAGUUGGAGGGGUAACGGCCCACCAAGGCGACGAUCAGUAGGGGUUCUGAGAGGAAGGUCCCCCANAUUGGAACUGAGACACGGUCCAAAACUCCUACGGGAGCAGCAGUGAGGAAUAUUGGUCAAAUGGCGAGAGCCUGAACCAGCCAAGUAGCGUGCAGGAUGACGGCCCUAUGGGUUGUAAACUGCUUUUAUAAGGGAAUAAAGUGAGCCUCGUGAGGCUUUUGCAUGUACCUUAUGAAUAAGGA